UACGUAGGGGGCGAGCGUUGUCCGGAGUUACUGGGCGUAAAGCGCACGCAGGCGGUCUGCUAAGUUUGGUGUGACAAUUGGUGGCUUAACUGCCAAAGUGCUUCGAAAACUGACAGACUUGAGGGCUUCAGAGGGACACGGAAUUCCGGGUGUAGCGGUGGAAUGCGUAGAGAUCCGGAAGAACACCGGUGGCGAAGGCGGUUAGCUGGGCAGUUGCUGACACUGAGGCGCGACAGCGUGGGGAGCAAACAGG
RNAcentral lists this ribosomal RNA (253 nucleotides) under uncultured bacterium. RNAcentral describes it as "partial 16S ribosomal RNA". It matches the Rfam family "Bacterial small subunit ribosomal RNA", at positions 524 to 776 of the family's 1533-position model. The record is from RNAcentral.